Molecule: long non-coding RNA, 723 nt
Organism: Mauremys mutica (yellowpond turtle)
Lineage: Eukaryota; Metazoa; Chordata; Testudines; Geoemydidae
Exons: 3
Source: RefSeq, a predicted model, not a curated record
GGCUGGCUGCUGAGGAGAGGGUUGUCAGACUUAAGCUCCAAAUCAAAAAAGCAAUGGAAGAACAGCAAAACCUGUAUCAUUCUGAAAGUCCAGUUUAUAACAAUGUUGAUUGGCCAGUGCCACUUCAGCUGUCUGAAAAAGAGAGUGAUAUAUGCUUCUGAGAAAGGAAUUUGCUAACAGCUAAGAGGCAAGGUUAUGAUUUCAUUUCUGGCUUCCACCUUCAUUCACAAGUUAAUGCACCAUGAAACCAGUGAUAUACCUGAGAUACAUUGAUGAUACUUUCAUCCUCUGGACAGACGACCUAAACUCCCUCGCAGCUUUCCACCACAACUUCAACAACCACCACACUCUCUCUAGAACAUUCUCACACCAGCAUCAACCUCCUGGACACCACAAUCAGCUUCAACAAUGGAACUCUACAGACAACUAUAUACAAGAAAUCCAUGGAUCACCACAGUUACUUUCGUAGAUCCAGUAACCACCCCAAACGCACCAUGAAAUCUGUUGGCAGGUGUUAUUUGUCAUGUUGUUGGGAUGGAGGGGAAAGGAAGUUCACUAUGGAGGCUUCCGUUGCAACUCCAUAGUUAUAGUUUAGAUAUUUCAAGUUUCAAGACAACUUUACACAUUUAGAAAUGUCUUGCCACUUGCUUUAUGGUAACAGUGUGUGAAACAAAACAAAUGAGCGAUACUUGUUACUGAAAAAAAUGAAAAAUGCUAAAAUGG